UACAGAGACUGCAAGCGUUAUUCGGAUUCAUUGGGCGUAAAGGGCGCGCAGGCGGCGGUGUGAGUGAGGCGUGAAAGCUCGGGGCUUAACCCCGGAAUUGCACCUCAAACUACACGGCUAGAGCAUUGGAGAGGGUAGCAGAAUUCACGGUGUAGCAGUGAAAUGCGUAGAUAUCGUGAGGAAUACCAGAGGCGAAGGCGGCUACCUGGACAAUUGCUGACGCUCAGGCACGAAAGCGUGGGGAGCAAAAGGG
RNAcentral lists this ribosomal RNA (253 nucleotides) under uncultured bacterium. RNAcentral describes it as "partial 16S ribosomal RNA". It matches the Rfam family "Bacterial small subunit ribosomal RNA", at positions 524 to 776 of the family's 1533-position model. The record is from RNAcentral.